UUAAAAUUAGUUAAGUUUAUAACCUAGGUUUGUCAGACCUAAAUCAUCAAUCAUUUGAUAUUUUAAA
Molecule: transfer RNA, 67 nt
Filed under: Plesionika edwardsii
Lineage: Eukaryota; Metazoa; Arthropoda; Malacostraca; Decapoda; Pandalidae
Description: tRNA-Asp
Source: RNAcentral